This 74-nucleotide transfer RNA is filed under the name Nisotra sp. BMNH 846636. RNAcentral describes it as "tRNA-Leu". The record is from RNAcentral. Lineage: Eukaryota; Metazoa; Arthropoda; Insecta; Coleoptera; Chrysomelidae.
AUUAUUUUGGCAGAAAAAUGUGAUAGAUUUAGAAUCUUUUUAUGUAAUUUAUAUUACAAAUAAUAAAUGUUAUU